UGAUAUAGUUUGACGGGGGGAUGAUCCGGUGUUUUAGCAGCAUCUGCUGGCGGACAGCAACACAUUCCAACAGGGCUUCCUUAGCACCGACGCGACGAGCCACGCUUCCUUAGCAACGGCCUGAUGUAAACAUUGCAGUGAGCAAAAUAAAAAGGAAAAUCAUAAGGUUUUCACUGUUGAAAGGUAUGUUUACACUUAACAGGCAUCACGCAGCUGUUGAACUUUAUGGUGGAGAGUAGGUAAACUGAUUUGUUGUAGUGGUAAAUCAUGGAAGGAGUUUGACUUGGUCACCUGCUGGACUCUGGACUAGUAUACAGUUGGACAUACACAAACAGGGGAUCAUGACACAGAAUGAAAAGCAGAGACUAACUGGAGACGAAGAAAUUAUAAAAGAGCUGUGUGUGUCUAAUGGACUCUGCUAUGAGAAGGUGGGUCAGGAGGGGUGUGGUGAAAUGGUUCUGGAGAUGUUUUUCUCUGGUUUCCCGCGCAUGGUGGGCCUCUCUCUCUUUCCCAGACUGUCCAGUCUCACUAUUAUAGG
Molecule: long non-coding RNA, 538 nt
Organism: Sinocyclocheilus grahami
Lineage: Eukaryota; Metazoa; Chordata; Actinopteri; Cypriniformes; Cyprinidae
Exons: 3
Source: RefSeq, a predicted model, not a curated record